This 22-nucleotide microRNA is filed under the name Columba livia (rock pigeon). Its description in RNAcentral is "cli-miR-9627-3p". Lineage: Eukaryota; Metazoa; Chordata; Aves; Columbiformes; Columbidae. The record is from miRBase by way of RNAcentral.
CAGCGUGGGCACUGCUCCAGAC